Molecule: transfer RNA, 67 nt
Filed under: Ashtoret lunaris
Lineage: Eukaryota; Metazoa; Arthropoda; Malacostraca; Decapoda; Matutidae
Also listed under: 1 other name
Description: tRNA-Trp
Source: RNAcentral
AAGAUUUUAAGUUAUGGAAACUGUAAGCCUUCAAAGCUUGAAAAAAAAGUAAUACUUUUAAAUCUUA